RNAcentral lists this long non-coding RNA (1276 nucleotides) under Homo sapiens (human). RNAcentral describes it as "HSALNT0082224". The record is from RNAcentral. Lineage: Eukaryota; Metazoa; Chordata; Mammalia; Primates; Hominidae.
GAAAACACUUGGUAAACCAUUAAGGACUACCACGAAUGUUAGAACCCUGUGCAUAGACUGGAAGAAAAUGUAUAGAAUAGUUCUAUCCAAAGACUCUAUGUGAUGAUGGGAAUGUUCUAUCUAUGCUGCCCUGGGUGGCACUACUGAGUACCUGACAGGUGGCUAGUGCAAAGUGAGGAACUGAAGUUUUAAUUUUAUUUAAUUUUAAUUCAUUUAAAUUUAAACAGUUAUAUGAGGCUAACGCCUACCAUUUUGGACAGAGCAGGUCUAGAGACUUUCUAAGCCAACAAAUGACUUGCAAAAUCUGGUCAGUGAGAAUACAGCACAUACAGCUUGUGGGCCUGUUUUCUUCCCCCAUUGUGACUUUUCUAAAGGAAGACUUGUGUUAUUUAUGAGGCCCAGAAGUGAUGGAUUGAGUUCCAUUGAACAAUUAUUUCCUUCCUGGUUUAAAAAAGAACUAUGCAUUUUGUAAAACUGGGUUUUCUGAGACCUCAGAUUUCUCUUUGUAUGUACAUGUUCAAUUUAUCAGACAUGAAAUUAUGGAUUCAGUGGACUGUCUCACCCAACUGGCUAAUUUGCAUGAUUAAUUGAAGAGGCAUGCAAUGCAACUGUGCCCAGUUUCCUUAACCACACCGGGCACUGCUGAUUCAUCCACCUGGUGGAUGAGAACGACUUCAAACCUGAGGGCUUGUUGGCCACACUCUAUUUAUUCAAUGAUGUCAUCUGGCAAAUAUGCAACACAAAAUACAGCUUGAAUGGCACUAAGUUACUGGUGGUUAUAGCUAAACUUGACUAGAGAUAGACUUCAGUGUAUGCAAAAUUGUAUUAGAGCUUAUAGGAUAGCACGUAUUUCAUGCUGUUAUCAGAGUAGGGAGGUUGAUCUAGAUUUGCUUAUUCUUUUUAGUUGGUUUUUUUUUUUUUUUUUUUUUUUUUUUUUUUUUUUUUUGAGACGGAGUGUCGCUCUGUCACCCAGGAGGCUGGAGUGCAGUGUUGUGAUCUUGGCUCACUGCAAACUUCACUUCCUGGGUUCAAGCAAUUCUCCUGCCUCAGCCUCCUGAGUAGCUGGUAUUACAGGCACCCACCACCAUGCCCAGCUAAUUUUUGUAUUUGUAGUAGAGACGGGGUUUCACCAUGUUGGCCAGGUUGGACUUGAACUCCUGACCUCAGGUGAUCCGCCAGCCUCAGCCUCUCAAAGUGCUGGGAAUACAAUGAUAUAUGUUGAGUUGUGCUUUGUAAUAAAGCUAAUGGUCACUUCAGUGUUGACGGCAUCCCAUCC